CAAGAUCAUGACCUCAGAUGAAGGCAGACGCUUAACCGACUGAGCCAACCAGGCGCCCCAGUUCUGGUACCCAGUAAGCAAGACUAUGAGUAUUUUUCCAGAAGAACACAUGCACAGGGUGGCAGAAUAUAAGAAAAAGUUGCAUCAAAGCUCAGAGCUAGGGCAAGGUCCACAGUAUCCUGUUCUAUACAAGCUUGUGAUACCAGUGCCUGCACAAAGGGUAUUGUAAACACUUGCAAUUACAAUGCAAUUACUAUUUGUCAAGCAACCUAUUUGUUAAGUUUCUGUUAGACAGUUUAAGUGAAGGAAGUCGGCUGCCUCUAAGAACUCACACGAUAAAGAUCAGCUUCUUUCAAGUUAAAAGAUCCUAAGAAGAAAAGAACCCUUCUGUAUCUGUUCUCCCUUUUCUCUACCCCACACCUCCUACCCAGGUAAGAUUACGACUCUUACCUGGACAUACAAAAUAUAGUAUUUUCUGGACUCCAUCCAGUUAGGUUGGAACCUUAACACUGAGUUCUGUACAAUGGAAGUGAUAAAAUCUACUUUCAGGUU
Molecule: long non-coding RNA, 552 nt
Organism: Ailuropoda melanoleuca (giant panda)
Lineage: Eukaryota; Metazoa; Chordata; Mammalia; Carnivora; Ursidae
Exons: 3
Source: RefSeq, a predicted model, not a curated record